CCUACGGGAGGCAGCAGUGAGGAAUAUUGGUCAAUGGGAGAGAUCCUGAACCAGCCAAGCCGCGUGAGGGAAGACGGCCCUAUGGGUUGUAAACCUCUUUUGUCGGAGAAAAAAACCCGGGACGUGUCCCGGACUGCGUGUAUCCGAAGAAAAAGCAUCGGCUAACUCCGUGCCAGCAGCCGCGGUAAUACGGAGGAUGCGAGCGUUAUCCGGAUUUAUUGGGUUUAAAGGGUGCGUAGGCGGUCCGUUAAGUCAGCGGGAAAAUUGCGGGGCUCAACCCCGUCGAGCCGUUGAAACUGGCAGACUUGAGUUGGCGAGAAGUACGCGGAAUGCGCGGUGUAGCGGUGAAAUGCAUAGAUAUCGCGCAGAACUCCGAUUGCGAAGGCAGCGUACCGGCGCCAGACUGACGCUGAGGCACGAAAGCGUGGGGAUCGAACAGGAUUAGAUACCCCAGUAGUC
Molecule: ribosomal RNA, 459 nt
Filed under: uncultured bacterium
Lineage: Bacteria
Description: partial 16S ribosomal RNA
Rfam family: Bacterial small subunit ribosomal RNA
Source: RNAcentral